This 4603-nucleotide small RNA is filed under the name Pongo abelii (Sumatran orangutan). RNAcentral's name for it is "retained intron". The record is from RNAcentral. Lineage: Eukaryota; Metazoa; Chordata; Mammalia; Primates; Hominidae.
GCACGGAUGAACAGCGGUGCGUUGUUUUCAGAGUAUUCUACAAACACCAACAGCAGCUUCAGGGCUGUCUUCACCACCAAGCGGGACUGAGGAAAGAGGUCAGCACAUAUGAGUGGGGCUUAGGCCAGACCUGUGCCAGCUGUUGCUGGGGAAGGGGAAGGGCUGCUUGGGCUGGACCCAGAGAGAAUCUAGGCAGAAUGACCCUGGCCCCAGGCCGAGGCACUGAAGUGCCUUAUAGGCUUAGAGAGGCCUCAGACUCACUCCCUUCCAGCCCACUUUGCAGAACAGGAAACUGAGGCCCAGAGAGAAGCAACAGGCAAAGGGUAUAAGAGCCACUUACCAGGCUGGCACACAAUGUGUACAGCCACUGAAUAGUCUCACUGUGGGCCACCACCCCCAGCAUUCCAUCCACAAAGAGCAUCAGCUGGCCGAGCGCUGGGGAAACAGGGACGGGCAGAGUCAGCAAGGGUCGCUGGAGCAGAGGUCAUGGGAGAGGGGCGGGGCUGACCUCUAAGGAUGUAACUCUGGUAGUUGUGGUCGGCAGCAGCACCCACACGGAUCAGGCAGCUCAGCCCCUCUGAAUGCACGAAUUCAGGCACCAGGUCUUUGUCCUCCUGGAGGCACCAUGGGGGAGUUUAGGGAAGCUUGGGCUACACACUUACCCCCAGCCCACUGCGGGGCCUCACCUGGAAGAUCUGCUUCAGUGAGAAGAGGGAGCGGCGGAGCUCAGGACCACUGGAGCUAUACAGCUUUUCUGCAAAAGUGUUUCACCUGUCUCGGAAGGUAACAUCUCUGGUCCCUGAGAGCUGCCUGCUGAUUUUGCUGGGCCUGGUGCUAGGGGGCAUUGUUUUGGCUGUGGCCAAGAAAGCUGAGUACCAGCUGGAGCCAGGCACCUUCUUCCUCUUCCUGCUGCCUCCUAUUGUGUUGGACUCAGGCUAUUUCAUGCCUAGCAGGCUGUUCUUUGACAACUUGGGUGCCAUCCUCACCUAUGCCGUGGUAGGCACACUCUGGAAUGCCUUCACAACAGGUGCUGCCCUCUGGGGCUUGCAGCAGGCUGGACUUGUAGCCCCUAGGGUGCAGGCUGGCUUACUGGACUUCCUGCUGUUUGGGAGCCUCAUCUCGGCGGUGGACCCUGUGGCCGUGCUAGCUGUCUUUGAGGAGGUGCACGUCAAUGAGACUCUCUUUAUCAUCGUCUUUGGCGAGUCCCUGCUCAAUGAUGCUGUCACCGUGGUGCUGUACAAGGUCUGCAACUCCUUUGUGGAGAUGGGCUCUGCCAAUGUGCAGGCCAUUGACUACCUGAAGGGAGUCGGUCAGUAUUUCCCCGCUCCCAGCUGGCAUUGGAGAUCUGCCUCCCCUGGGUUGCUGAGGCCCUCCCACCCCACAUCAGGACAGAAGAGGCUAUUCGGGUUGCCUCAUCUCCUCUAUAGAGAAAUGGGGUCUGGGAGGGGCUUGCCAGGGAUCCUGGCUCUGGGGUUUUGAGCCCCUGGGAGUGCGGUGGGCAUCAUCCCUCACUCCCUGCCAGGCAGCAGUCUUGUCAGCCCGGGUAGGGUCCGGGCCAGGGGUCAUGCUGACAACCCACUCCUCCCUCAGCCUCCCUGUUUGUGGUCAGUCUGGGCGGGGCAGCCGUGGGCUUAGUCUUUGCCUUCCUCCUGGCCCUGACCACACGCUUCACCAAGCGGGUCCGCAUCAUCGAGCCGCUGCUGGUCUUCCUCCUCGCCUACGCAGCCUACCUCACUGCUGAAAUGGCCUCGCUGUCCGCCAUUCUUGCGGUGACCAUGUGUGGCCUGGGCUGUAAGAAGUACGUGGAGGCCAACAUCUCCCAUAAGUCACGCACAACUGUCAAAUAUACAAUGAAGACUCUAGCCAGCUGUGCUGAGACCGUCAUCUUCAUGCUGCUUGGCAUCUCAGCCGUGGACUCUUCUAAGUGGGCCUGGGAUUCUGGGCUGGUGCUGGGCACCCUCAUCUUCAUCCUGUUCUUCCGAGCCCUCGGCGUAGUCCUGCAGACCUGGGUGCUGAAUCAGUUCCGGCUAGUCCCUCUGGACAAGAUUGACCAAGUGGUGAUGUCCUAUGGGGGCCUGCGGGGGGCUGUGGCCUUUGCUCUCGUCAUCCUACUGGAUAGGACCAAGGUCCCUGCCAAGGACUACUUUGUAGCCACCACUAUUGUAGUGGUCUUCUUCACAGUCAUCGUGCAGGGCUUGACCAUCAAGCCACUGGUCAAAUGGCUGAAGGUGAAGAGGAGUGAGCAUCACAAACCCACUCUGAACCAGGAGCUGCAUGAACACACUUUUGACCACAUUCUGGCUGCAGUGGAGGACGUUGUGGGGCACCAUGGCUACCACUACUGGAGGGACAGGUGGGAGCAGUUUGACAAGAAAUACCUGAGUCAGCUGCUGAUGCGACGAUCAGCCUACCGCAUCCGGGACCAGAUCUGGGAUGUGUACUACAGGCUUAACAUCCGGGAUGCCAUCAGCUUUGUGGACCAGGGAGGCCACGUCUUGUCUUCCACAGGUCUCACUCUGCCUUCUAUGCCCAGCCGCAAUUCUGUGGCAGAAACUUCUGUCACCAACCUGCUGAGGGAGAGUGGCAGUGGAGCGUGUCUGGAUCUGCAGGUGAUUGACACAGUACGCAGUGGCCGGGAUCGUGAGGACGCUGUGAUGCAUCAUCUGCUCUGCGGAGGCCUCUACAAGCCGCGCCGUAGGGAUAGAGCUGAGGACAGAGCCCUGUGGCAUGCUACUAAAGACUUUCCUCCAGACUGACAUGGAUCAAGCAUUUUUGGGUACAAAGCCAGCUGCAGUCGCCACUUCAUCUCAGAGGAUGCGCAGGAGCGGCAGGACAAGGAGGUCUUCCAGCAGAACAUGAAGCGGCGGCUGGAGUCCUUUAAGUCCACCAAGCACAACAUCUGCUUUACCAAGAGCAAGCCACGACCCCGCAAGACUGGCCGCAGGAAGAAGGAUGGUGUGGCGAAUGCUGAGGCUACAAAUGGGAAACAUCGAGACCUGGGCUUUCGGGACACAGCUGCUGUGAUAUUAACCGUGGAGUCUGAGGAGGAGGAGGAGGAGAGCGACAGUUCAGAGACAGAGAAGGAGGACGAUGAGGGGAUCAUCUUUGUGGCUCGGGCCACCAGUGAGGUUCUCCAAGAGGGCAAGGUCUCAGGAAGCCUUGAGGUGUGCCCAAGCCCACGAAUCAUUCCCCCCUCCCCAACCUGUGCAGAGAAGGAGCUCCCCUGGAAGAGUGGGCAGGGGGACCUGGCAGUGUACGUGUCCUCGGAAACCACCAAGAUUGUGCCUGUGGACAUGCAGACGGGUUGGAACCAGAGCAUCUCAUCCCUGGAGAGCCUAGCGUCCCCUCCCUGUAACCAGGCCCCAAUUCUGACUUGCCUGCCUCCCCAUCCACGGGGUGCUGAAGAGCCCCAGGUCCCUCUCCACCUGCCUUCUGAUCCACGCCCUAGCUUCGCCUUCCCACCGAGCCUGGCCAAGGCUGGCCGCUCUCGCAGUGAGAGCAGCGCUGACCUCCCCCAGCAGCAGGAGCUGCAGCCCCUCAUGGGCCACAAGGACCACACCCAUCUCAGCCCAGGCACCGCUACCUCCCACUGGUGCAUCCAGUUCAACAGAGGCAGCCGGCUGUAGCUCAGGGUCUCCGGGAGGAGCAGGAGGUGGAAUCCCUGUGGGAAAUGCUCCCUGGGCGAUGGGUAGAGCCCUCGAAACGACAUGGGGCCAGAGGGGCCUGAGUUGAAGUAGUAAUUGGGCUUCCUUGGGGCUGGUCAGAGGGGUCACCUAAGCUGGUCCUCACAGGGGCCUUUCUCACCACCUCCCUGCUCCUAAGCCCUGCCACUUUCUGUUUCAUUAAGGCCUCUACUCUGGCUCAGGACCCAGUCCAGGCCUUCUACGGGCUAGGCCCAGAGACUUGGGUUGCUGGUCCCCCUUCCCUAGUGGGUUUUCCCAGGGACUCUAUAGGCAGCUGCUCCUGCCACCAAAGCAAGGGCAUCAUUCCUAUUCUUCAGUGGAUGCCAGCCUUCCCUGCCCCCACUCCCUCCCCAGCACUGGGUCAGUGGUGUCCUGGCAGUGAGGCUCCGUAAGGGGCUGGCCCUUAGAGGAACUGGGGUGGGAGGUGGGGCAGGCCUCACCCUUGGGCUUUGCUGCCCUGUUGGGUCAGCUACCCAUAGUCCAUAUUUUUAGGGCAGUGGGAACCUCUGCCUCCACUUCCUGCUUUAGCCCCUUCCCUUGCUGCCAGGUAUUGGGGUAAUAGUUCCUCCUUUUCCAAGACCAAGGCCAAGAGGCUGGGCCAGGCUUCAGUUCAGGCCUGUUGCUUAAAUGGGGUCACCCUGGGAUCUGCUGCUCUGGGUCUAAGUCUAGACCUUUCUGAUCCUUGGGUCUGGGUUUUUUGAGGAGGGGACAUAGUGGCCUCUGGGCUGCCAUGUCACCACCUGAACAUUCCCCAAACAGAGAAGGAACCCAGCAUCUCAGGGCCACUGCUCCAUUGCUCUGGGGGCUGGGAUGCCUGGCUAAGCAGGGGCUGACAGGGUGGCAGGUGACUUUCUAGGGGUCAGCACCUGCUUUGUGUUUUGUACCUUGAACCUAAGAUACAUUAAACAUCUCUCAGAUGG